GGAAGCAUGGCCGAGUGGUCGAUGGCGGCACACUGCUAACGUGCUGAACCGCAUGGUUCCGGAGGUUCGAAUCCUCCUGCUUCCG
RNAcentral lists this transfer RNA (85 nucleotides) under Bacteroidales bacterium. RNAcentral's name for it is "tRNA-Ser". It matches the Rfam family "tRNA". Rfam says of the family: Transfer RNA (tRNA) molecules are approximately 80 nucleotides in length. The record is from RNAcentral. Lineage: Bacteria; Pseudomonadati; Bacteroidota; Bacteroidia; Bacteroidales.